CCAAAACUCACCAUCUAUGAGGAAGUUGAAUGCACGUGUUGAACAGCAUGAGUUGCAUGCACUUAAGUCGUUGAAUGGUGCCGGAUUUUAGUCAUCAAGUUCUUUGGUUUUCCCUGGUCAAGCCUGAUAACAACUAGAACUGAUUCUAUCGGUCCACGGCUGCAGAGCCGUCGGAUCUAAAAUACACGGUUGUCACACAAGAUCGUGCGCCCAGUGUAUCUAUCAUCGAGAUGACCCGCAUUUUGGUCGGUAUUGCUCAUUUUCCACGUCGAAUCAUUUAACCAAGUAUAGCUGGGGAAAUCACGCACUAAUGUGCUCCGACUAAGUUGCUGCAUUGGUGGCCAUUACUUUCUCCUGCAAGGGUCCAACGCGUGAGUCUAUUUGCCCGUAGAUGCGUGCGUCAGACAUGACAUCAGAGUCCGAUGUAGAUAGCAGCAGAUCAUCUCAAAAGAUGUCGUAUGAAAGCGGCCAUCCAGCCGAUCAUCUCCGCAGAAACCGGCAUCCAUCCGGGAUCCAAGAUUAGACCCAAUCAGACGGUGAUGAUCGCCCCUUCCACCUAAACCAAAAGCCUACCCGAGACCCUUUACCUAACCCAUCCUCACGACACGAAAGACAAAAUGAACCGGACCACAGAGUGGGGGGUAUUUUCGUCAACGAGAAAUUAGAAGACCCGAAUCAAGUCCCUCCCCUCCGCUCGCUGGGGAUUAACAUGAUUAGGGCCAAUGAAUCCCAUGACUUGGUAACUUGAAUGAAAGACGGAAGAUUAAAUUUCAAGUCUAAUUUAAAUGAAUUUCAAGUCUAAUUUAAAUGGGACCCCAAAUGAAAAGAAAUUGAACAAUACCAAGCCAA
RNAcentral lists this long non-coding RNA (849 nucleotides) under Musa acuminata (dwarf banana). Its description in RNAcentral is "long non-coding RNA (MACU_LNC005105)". The record is from RNAcentral. Lineage: Eukaryota; Viridiplantae; Streptophyta; Magnoliopsida; Zingiberales; Musaceae.